CAUGCCACUUGUUCAAUUAAAAACAAAACAAAAAACUCUGUCACUCAUGGAGCUUCGGUCGAACACAGAACUUGCUGUGUUAGAAGCAAGUUAGAAGGUUAGAUGGUUAGAAAGACUAGGCAUGGUCUUCAGUGGGAAAGUACUGGCUGUGUCUCUUCUGUUUGUUCUUUGGGAACAAGAAACGACAGGAAGGGCUUGAAGGCAGGUAGCAGCAGAAAUUGCAAUGGAGAUGUAUCUUUUUUACACUGUUAAAUUGCUGACGAGUCCAUAUUUCAAGCAUCUGAUGGAGGGCAAGUUGUCAAAACAGAAGGCUGUGUCAGAGAGAAAAACCAAGAGCCUUUGGUGCCCAGGAUGCCCGAAGCCGGCACUAAAAUGAUAAGGGUUCAACAGCAUAAGGCUCAAAUUUUCGGACCCUGGUGCCAUUUGUGAGAAAGAUUCACUUUUUAAGUCAGAAAAGAGGGAUAAUUUUAAAUCCGCACAAGACUCCUUUUAUCUUGCCAACUAUCUUUGAAAACACUAGUAGUGGAAAACAGGGAGUCCUAAAAGCUAUCGGUACUGGUGGAAAGACCCAGGGAAGAACGAUUUAAGGUCUUCCUAGCAACAGCUAACGUUUUUGGAGCGCACACUGCUCAAGUGCUCUGCCUUAUUCAUACCCAUAGGCAGGGUCAGAACCACCCAGGGUCGCCGGGUUAGUGAACAGUGAUGCCAGGAUUCACACCCAGGUGACCUUGGCCUUUGGCCACUAGAACACCUGCCAACAACACAUACACCUUAAUGUACAUACUCCACAUAAAAUCUUCACAUUUAUUGUGGAGAAUUCUUUUUGUUCCAUCAAAAAGUGCCUCCCAAUGUUAGAAGGGCAUCCGUGUACUCUUCCUGACACAUCUCUAGGCAAUUAUGCCGGCAGCCGUUGGCUUAGAAAAAGUACCGAUGAAGAGAAGAGACAUCAGGGAAGUUGAGAGUUACAAAAAAUACGUCACACAUGCUGUUUGGAAAUAACCCAAACUGUUCAUUCUUCUGCCCUCUCCAGUCAGUGCAAGCCGCCCCCUCCCGCCCCUUCAUCUAACAGGCAGCCACCUCGGUGUCAAGUGCAUUGUGAGCCCAGGCGGGACUUCAGUGAGAACAGCCCGGUCCUCACCCUUGAGAAAGCUGUGGUGGUGUGAGUUCAACCCAGGGAACGGCAAGUUUUACCUGAUCCAGGUCAUUCCGCAGAGCGAUUUUGCUGGUGACCAGUUCAUGGGCAAGGUCAUCGUUCUCUUGCUCCAGCCUCAUGCUGGCCUCCUGGAGUCUCCGGUUCUCCCUCUGCAGGGAAAGAGCGACAGCCAGAGAUUUACACUCCUAACGGUGUUUUCUGCAAUGGUGGCAGAAACCUAGACAAAGCAGUGCCGUGGCCAGAAGACACGUCUAUGCCCUGGAAGACAAGUGUGUCACAGUGGUGUGUGCGGUGGAGUGACUUUCGUUUUCUAUUGAACAACGCGGGGUUGGUGACAUGGGAAAAAGAGAGCCUACUUGCUGUUUUUCUUUUUGUUUUUUAAAGAAGGACUAAGAAACUGAUGGGGAGGGCAGAGCCCAAGGCUUUCAUGCGGGUAGAGGGUCCCCCCUAGCAGGGCCGCCGGGAGGCCGAAGGAUGAACCUGUUGAUGAGAACCAGCCCACAGGGUCUAUUUCUGUCUUCUCUCUUGGAAAAGGAAGGCUCGGAGAGCUGGGGAAUGCCAAAACAUUUUUUUAAUGUUUUUUAUUUAUUU
Suricata suricatta (meerkat) is the source of this 1744-nucleotide long non-coding RNA. RefSeq lists it as uncharacterized. The transcript is spliced from 3 exons. The record is from RefSeq and is a predicted model, not a curated record. NCBI's taxonomy places the organism in Eukaryota, Metazoa, Chordata, Mammalia, Carnivora, Herpestidae.